CGGAGCUAUGUUGGGGCGGCAGCGGGGGUAAACAAACAGCCCGGGGCGCCGGGGGCCUCGGCCGGGAGAGCUGUGCUGAGGGGUGAACACAACCAUCGGGGCUCUUUUACUCACCCCGUACACAACAGGCUAAAACCUGUGCAGCUCCCGUGUCCGGGCAAGCCUUGCUUCAGGCGUUUCUGGCUACUGAUAAACCAAGAGUGAGGGGAGGGAAAUAUAUAAGGAGCUUCUGAUACGCUGAAAUCCUCAUUUGGAAUCAAAUGUGUAACGACAAGGGAGAGAGCUGAGCUUUGUCUCCAUUUUACAUAAUUCUGCAGAAUUUAUCUGUUGGCUUCUAGGUUGCUGCAGUAAAGGCAAGAGAUUCUCCCAAGGGGUAUUUGAAAUGAAGAAGACAUCUGGAAGUUGAAGAUUCAUCCGCCAGUUUUCCAGUACGGACAGAGGCUGCAGCUCUGUGACCCUCUUUGCCAGAUUUGUGCACUGCAGGAUCAGUUGACUUUACACAAAAAGCCAGCAGGCUUACAGCUGCACCAGGCUGCCUCUUUUGAUGCAUUUAGGCAGUUUUAAACCAGGGAGGAAGAGGAAACAGGGAAAAAAGGAACAAGAGAGAAAAAAAGAGACUCCAGUUCAGAGACUGCCUAGCAUUGCUGAAGACCUUCUACAAAACCUGCUGUCCCACAGAUCCACAGUGAAGCUGCUGUAUAAGCCAUGUAGCCAGAGACUCAGCACUUUGCCCAGUUCUGCCAGACUUCUGGAAUGAAUGCUACUGUGCCUCCCACCCCUCCCCAUCUGUUGCUGGGAGGGUAUCUCCUGGAAGCUCAGAAGCCUUUUCUUCAGGCUAUGCUGAAUUCAUGUUACAAGGCUGAUCAUCCUCUGCUGCUCUGGGCUGUGCUGCUGAGAGGAAGGAAAAUGAACUCCUUGUCUGGUGAAAAAUGCUCUCCAUGAUCCUAGCUCUGCUGUCUGACUGAAAUAUGGACAUAAAGCACUAGCUCUGGCAGGCAGCUUCAUGGAAGAGAAGAGUGACUCGGGCAAAAUACUGAUGGGCUCUGCACUCAAAGUGUAACACUGUGACCAAACUGUAUACAACAAAGGAACUUGAAGUGCUCCUGACAGCUGCACUGGGGCUUCAAUUCUAUUUUGGGUUGGGUUGUUGUUUGUUGGGUUUUUUUUUCCAAAGCUAGAACAAAAGAGGAAGAAAAACAAAAUAAAGAAGAGCAUUAAAAAAUCA
Molecule: long non-coding RNA, 1225 nt
Filed under: Zonotrichia albicollis (white-throated sparrow)
Lineage: Eukaryota; Metazoa; Chordata; Aves; Passeriformes; Passerellidae
Description: lncRNA (ENSZALG00000006786.1)
Source: RNAcentral